This 1245-nucleotide ribosomal RNA is filed under the name alkali sediment metagenome. RNAcentral's name for it is "bacterial LSU rRNA". It matches the Rfam family "Bacterial large subunit ribosomal RNA", at positions 657 to 2002 of the family's 2925-position model. The record is from RNAcentral.
UAGGUGUAGGCGCAGCGAAAGCGAGUCUGAAUAGGGCGACUGAGUUUGAUGCAUUAGACCCGAAACCCGGCGAUCUAGGCAUGACCAGAGUGAAGGUGCGGUAACACGCACUGGAGGCUCGAACCGAUUAACGUUGAAAAGUUACCGGAUGAGUUGUGUUUAGGGGUGAAAGGCCAAUCAAGCCGGGAAAUAGCUGGUUCUCCGCGAAAACUAUUGAGGUAGUGCCUCGGAUGUUUUCCGAUGGGGGUAGAGCACUGGAUGGGCUAGGGGGCCGCGAGGUCUACCAAACCUAACCAAACUCCGAAUACCAUCGAGUAUAGUCCGGGAGACAGACGGCGGGUGCUAAGGUCCGUCGUCAAAAGGGAAACAGCCCUAACCUACAGCUAAGGUCCCCAAGUCAUCACUAAGUGGGAAAGCAUGUGGGACUUCCAAAACAACCAGGAGGUUGGCUUAGAAGCAGCCAUCCUUUAAAGAAAGCGUAACAGCUCACUGGUCUAAUUAAGAGGUCCUGCGGCGAAGAUGUAUCGGGGCUAAAGUGAUGCACCGAAGCUUAGGGUUCGAUCUUCAUUGAUCGAGCGGUAGCGGAGCGUUCCGUAAGCCAUUGAAGCGAUCUGGUAAUGGGUCGUGGAGGUAUCGGAAGUGCGAAUGCUGACAUGAGUAGCGAUAAAGAGGGUGAGAUGCCCUCUCGCCGAAAGCCCAAGGGUUCCUGCGCAAGGCUAAUCCGCGCAGGGUGAGUCGGCCCCUAAGACGAGCCCGAAGGGGGUAGUCGAUGGGAAACAGGUUAAUAUUCCUGUACCUGGUGGUGUGUGACGGAUCUCGUGUGUCGUCAGUCCUUAUUGGAUUGGUACUGGCGGCGAAGAGGUUCCAGGAAAUAGCCCCACCGUAUAGACCGUACCCGAAACCGACACAGGUGGGCAGGUAGAGUAUACCAAGGCGCUUGAGAGAAGGGUGUUGAAGGAACUCGGCAAAUUGCCUCCGUACCUUCGGAAGAAGGAGGCCCUCAUCGCGGGCAACCGCUUUGAGGGGGCACAGGCCAGGGGGUAGCGACUGUUUAACAAAAACACAGGGCUCUGCUAAGUCGGCUUCAAGACGACGUAUAGGGUCUGACGCCUGCCCGGUGCCGGAAGGUUAAGAGGAGGAGUGCAAGCUCCGAAUUGAAGCCCCGGUAAACGGCGGCCGUAACUAUAACGGUCCUAAGGUAGCGAAAUUCCUUGUCGGGUAAGUUCCGACCUGCACGAAUGGCGU